UCGAUUAGCAUUUGUUUAACAAGC
RNAcentral lists this non-coding RNA (24 nucleotides) under Arabidopsis thaliana (thale cress). The record is from RNAcentral. Lineage: Eukaryota; Viridiplantae; Streptophyta; Magnoliopsida; Brassicales; Brassicaceae.